This is a small nuclear RNA of Perognathus longimembris pacificus (Pacific pocket mouse), 103 nucleotides long. NCBI's taxonomy places the organism in Eukaryota, Metazoa, Chordata, Mammalia, Rodentia, Heteromyidae. The record is from RefSeq and is a predicted model, not a curated record.
UUGUUUCAUAAACACAAAUACUAAUAUCGGAAUGACCCAGACAAGAUCAGUGUAGCUCAUGAGAAAGGAUGACAUAUGAAUUCAUGAAGCAUUGCAUACCUUU